GCAGCAGCAGCAGCAGCAGCAGCAGCAGCAGCAGCAGCUGGUUACUUCUCACCCUGGUUGUAUAAGGUCAUUGCCAUUUGCUCACAAGGUGCAACGUCCACCGCUGUCGUCUGUGUGGAGCUAACAGAGCUGUCUCUGUGUCCUCUCGUCCUCCUGUCAGGUCUGCACUGGGACUGUUAAACCGUUAAAUCCCUGGAAAUUUCCCCUCAGAGCACGUUUCGCCCUCUCUCUCUCUGCCAGGACCUGUUUAUUUAUCCUUCUCAGCAGUUUUCAGUAGUUUCAUGAUGGACGUUGAGAAGAUAAUCUUAGUCAGACGUGUCUGAUAUUAUCAUUUGGUGAUUGAUUUAGAGUCACAAGCUGAAUGGGCCUGGUCUCUUCCUCUCAUGAGUCAUUCUUGACAUUUUUCUUCAGAGCCAAACAAAAUAAAGGAGCUUCCCAGUGCACUGACAAAGAAUUUGUGUCUGCACAGAUCUGUGGGAUGAACUGGAAUUGUGUGAUUCUGCCGCACAACAGAAUCCAAAGUCUUGUGGCGAGACUUUUGCAAAAGAUUCGGCAGCUGAAACAGACACAGAUCGAGCCCUUUGUGGUUUUGAGAUGACAAGUUCAACUCGUUUUUCAUACAUUUGGUCAUGAAGUGCAGCUCUCUGAUGCUACAUAAAUGCUAUAAUAAAACAUGAGAGACAUGAGACACUUCCA
Solea senegalensis (Senegalese sole) is the source of this 696-nucleotide long non-coding RNA. RefSeq lists it as uncharacterized. NCBI's taxonomy places the organism in Eukaryota, Metazoa, Chordata, Actinopteri, Pleuronectiformes, Soleidae. The transcript has 2 exons. The record is from RefSeq and is a predicted model, not a curated record.